Ostrea edulis (European flat oyster) is the source of this 797-nucleotide long non-coding RNA. RefSeq lists it as uncharacterized. The record is from RefSeq and is a predicted model, not a curated record. The transcript has 6 exons. NCBI's taxonomy places the organism in Eukaryota, Metazoa, Mollusca, Bivalvia, Ostreida, Ostreidae.
CAAAAUUCAAAGAAAAUCAAAAUCCCUGCCACAUGCACACCUUUCAUGCCCAUACAAACACCAUGAUUGUUAAGUAAGAACGUUCUCAUUUUAAAACUGUGGGAGACAUUCAUUUACUCUCCGUAUGAUACUCCCUCAAAAGGGACAAGCUCAACAACCUGUAAUUUUCUAUAAAAAGGGGAUUAAGGGAAAUUAAAAUCUUUGGUACAUGUACUUGCAGAUCUUCAAUAUCCAUACAAACACAGAUCAUUCUCAAAAGUUGUGAAAUUGUGGGAGGAGUUCGUCGGAAAAUGAGUUGUGAGAUUGGUCGCUGUUCGUUGUCUUCACCUUGUAUUCAUAGGGCAUGAAAAGAGUCCAGGAAUCUGUAGAAAAGCUAUUAACACGUACGUGACAUGCCAUACCAAAGAUAUGGGAAACACUGAUGGAAAUCAAGUCUCCACUUAAAACGUACCAGGAUCACACAAGACUUCUGGAGUCUGUAGCAAAAUUGAUUACAUUUACAUGUUCUGUGGGAACAACGAUUCGGAAAAAACUGAUGGAAAUGACGUCGCCAUAUCAAAGGCACCAGUAUCAAUCUCUGAACCGCGAGAUACAGAAGACGGCAAUGGCCAUGAAAUAGCAUCAAUGACUACAGAGGCAGUAGACUCUCCUACAACACCGGAUAAUACGCUUUAAGAUUUGAAAAACCAUGUGCAGAAUUUCACUUCGCAAGAAUCUGGCUGUCAAACAGUUCGAAUUACUUCAACAUCUCCAUUGCAAUUAUAUUAUGUGAAUAAAAGACAAAUAUCGAAGAUUUA